RNAcentral lists this long non-coding RNA (1917 nucleotides) under Triticum aestivum (bread wheat). RNAcentral describes it as "long non-coding RNA (TAES_LNC000138)". Lineage: Eukaryota; Viridiplantae; Streptophyta; Magnoliopsida; Poales; Poaceae. The record is from RNAcentral.
ACAUAGGAACUGUAAGUCACAUUUACAUUAAUGGGACAGAAACAACAAUAGAAUCAGUUGCAACCAUAUCACAUGGCCAAGUCACGGCAAGAAUAAAGAGUAGUUGAUAACUAGUCCAAAACCAUAAUGUUUUGAGCUGAACCAAAAAGACUUGUUUCCUAUGCCAAUCUCCACAAGCGAGUGAACACCAAAUUAUCUGCAAAAGUGAAUGUACAUGUUCAGUUACAUGAACAGAAGGAAGAUGCCAAUUGUGUAUGAAUAUAGAUGAUAAAUGACAAUAAGAUUGACAUGUUAACCUUUUUUGGAGCAAAUCUAGAUCUUCAGCGAAAAUCAUUUUUUUAAUGUUCACUUUCUCUACAUUAGUGCAUGACACAAAACUAACAAAGGUAAAUAAAUCCAAUUUGUCCAUAAGACUUGCAACUUUUGAUUACAAUUAUAGCAUACUAUUUUUUUUGCCUACAGAUAAUCAUCUCAAGUACGUACAACUGAAUGUAUGGGCAUGUAGGAUGUUUGACUAACAAAGCAUAUAGCAAUUCCCUAAAUAACAGCUAAGGUUUUGCUUUAUUAGACAUGAAAGAAUAGCAUGUGUUACAUGCAUGAAGAUAAGUGGGCUAUAGAAUUGGUGGCACAUAAGGAAACCACUUAACGAAGACACAUGCAGGUUUAAGCAUUAACUAAACAUGUUGGUUCAAAACUGCAUAAUCAAGAAAUAGUAAUGCAAAAGAUGGAUAGAAAUCUCACCGGACUGACGAGCAUUGUUCUUCCUGUCCAUCAGCAUUGCAUAUUCAAAUAUUAUAGAAAUCCAUGAGACUACAAGGAUGCAAAUGAGCGUAAAGUUGAAGAGCAUCCGAAUACAUGAAACUGCCCGCGGAGCCAAUAUAACCUUCUGCACCAAGCAGACAAUGAAACAAAAAUAGAAUGUACAUAAGAUAGAGAGAAGCGUGUGCAUGUGCGUGUGUGAAACCAGAACAUGCACAAAGAAGUUAUAGGUGGGCAGGAGAUAUAUCUACAUAAAAUUUAUUGUAUCUCUCUUGAUGGAAGUGUCAUGAGAAAUAGCCAUCACCUUGUUUAUUCAUUGAAGAGCCUGAUCUGCAGCUUUCUCAACAAUCACAUCUGACACCUCUAGAUUAGGAGGUGGUGGAAGAUGGCUGCAAACAACAUUACUUGUUAUUGCAACUUUCCAUAAUGAAGUACAGAACAAUGGCACGCACUAGUACAGUGAGGUGGAAUGAGUAAAACAUUAUAAGUUGUCCCCAUUAAGUUAAAAGAAACUCACACGGUGACCAAGUGCAACAAGCUCCUGAAGCUCUUUAUGGAUACAGUCCAUACUAAUAGAAAAUAUAAAGCACUUAAUACAAUUAACUACAGAAGCACAGUUGAAUCAUUUUACCAGAGCCGACAAAGUAUAUUUACAGGUUAUGGAGAAAAAUGACUUGCUAGCAAAAGAAAUAUCAAACUGCUAUGAAAACAUAACUGUAAAUUAUAGCAACAACUUUAGUAUUUACUUUGUAGAGAAGGGAACAUGUAGGUCGACCAUGAUAGCUAAUGUAUAGUAGACAAAGGUGAAUGAGCAAACCCUCUACAUAGUGAAGGGGUAAAUUAAACCUUGAACGCUCUCCCUCUCAUAAAUACUAAGCCAAAUUCCAGACUCCAUAGUGCUCAGAUCCAGUUUUGCAAAACCUCUGAAGUUUACGGGAUCCUACAUUGUAGCAAAUCUACUGAAUGACUUAGUUUGAACAAUCCACCAAACAAUUCAGCAGUAAGAUACCCUAGUCGAAGUGAUACAACAUUUGCAUGAACACAUUAUCCAAUUACUAUCCUAAAAUCACAUAGAAAAUAAUUGCAAUCUGCAAUCAUCCAGAGUAAAAAGUAGUCAAGAAACCUAUUUACAACAGGUAAAGCCAUCACAUGAAUAAC